Molecule: ribosomal RNA, 498 nt
Filed under: uncultured bacterium
Lineage: Bacteria
Description: bacterial SSU rRNA
Rfam family: Bacterial small subunit ribosomal RNA
Source: RNAcentral
GACGAACGCUGGCGGCGUGCUUAACACAUGCAAGUGGAGCGACGAACCGGGGCUUGCCCCGGGGCAGAGCCGCGAACGGGUGAGUAACACGUGGGUCACCUGCCUCGAUGACCGGGACAACCCGAGGAAACUCGGGCUAAUACCGGAUGUGCUCUUCGGAGGAAAGGUAGCUUCGGCUUCCGCAUCGAGAUGGGCCCGCGGCGCAUUAGCUUGUUGGUGGGGUAACGGCCUACCAAGGCGACGAUGCGUAGCUGGUCUGAGAGGACGAUCAGCCACACUGGGACUGAGACACGGCCCAGACUCCUACGGGAGGCAGCAGUGGGGAAUCUUGCGCAAUGCGCGAAAGCGUGACGCAGCAACGCCGCGUGGGGGAAGAAGGCCUUCGGGUUGUAAACCUCUUUCAGUUGGGACGAAGCUUCUGCGGUGAAUAGCCGUAUGGAGUGACGGUACCUUCACAAGAAGCCCCGGCUAACUACGUGCCAGCCGCCGCAGUAACAC